RNAcentral lists this ribosomal RNA (435 nucleotides) under uncultured bacterium. RNAcentral's name for it is "partial 16S ribosomal RNA". It matches the Rfam family "Bacterial small subunit ribosomal RNA", at positions 29 to 507 of the family's 1533-position model. The record is from RNAcentral.
AGCGAACGCUGGCGGCAGGCUUAACACAUGCAAGUUGAGCGGGCAUCUUCGGAUGUCAGUGGCAGACGGGUGAGUAACACGUGGGAACGUACCCUUCGGUUCGGAAUAACUCAGGGAAACUUGAGCUAAUACCGGAUACGCCCUUUUGGGGAAAGGUUUACUGCCGAAGGAUCGGCCCGCGUCUGAUUAGCUUGUUGGUGGGGUAACGGCCUACCAAGGCGACGAUCAGUAGCUGGUCUGAGAGGAUGAUCAGCCACACUGGGACUGAGACACGGCCCAGACUCCUACGGGAGGCAGCAGUGGGGAAUAUUGGACAAUGGGCGCAAGCCUGAUCCAGCCAUGCCGCGUGAGUGAUGAAGGCCUUAGGGUUGUAAAGCUCUUUUGUCCGGGACGAUAAUGACGGUACCGGAAGAAUAAGCCCCGGCUAACUUCGUG